RNAcentral lists this unclassified non-coding RNA (51 nucleotides) under Pseudolactococcus piscium. Its description in RNAcentral is "Lactococcus piscium SraD". Lineage: Bacteria; Bacillati; Bacillota; Bacilli; Lactobacillales; Streptococcaceae. The record is from RNAcentral.
UAAGACGCACUAGGCUACUACUAUCAUCCCUGUCAUAAGCGCCAAUUUCCU